CCUAGCUCGUAACUGCGCACGCGCAUCUCUGUCAAAUCUAUCGGUUGCUUUGCUUUACCCUCCUCCUCUCCUCCACCACUCAGCAACCACCCUUAGUCGCCUUUAAUUGAAGUCAGUGCUCGCUUGAUGCUUGUGUUUUGUUAUGAACUGACCAUCUUUUGUUUUAAAACAAAUUAUACGGUAGGUAUAUAUAACAUAUAUAUAUAUAUAUAUACACUCACACAUAUGCAUAUAUUUAUAACAGUAAUCUUUUUUAUCUAUCUAUUAUUGCAGUUAAUUUUUAUUAUCUAUUUCUUGUGUCCUUUCUUUCACAUUUUCUUUAAUUUAAAUAUAUAGUUGAUGUUAUUGUUGAUGUUUGAUUCAAUUAACCCUUAGCAUACACAUUUCUCUGUUCCCCAUGAGUACCCUAAAUUUAAAAAGAGUAAAUACUAAGAUUGAUAUAUAUAUAUAUGCACAUACUGAUUCGUUUGCCACAUAACACCCAUCACACACACUAUCUAUAGGUAUAUAUAUAUAUAUAUAUAUAUAUAUAUAUAUACAUACACAUAUACACUUUCAUCAUAUAUGUCUCUCCACCCGAUUUCGCCUGUGGUCAUCAUUUGUCUAUUGUAAUGUUAGGGUUUUUCAUCGUUAUGUCGGGUAUAGAGAGUAGCUUGUAUUAUUUGUAUGUGGCGUGUGUGUGUGAUGGAGUAGCAGGGAAUUAACGGGAAUCCUUAGUAAAGUUGAUCCCUAUAUUCUUUGAUGACCACUCCACUGUAUUUUUUAAAAAUGGUUUUUAUUAUUUUGUUUCCAUCUUUUUAGAGAAUGUGUAUAGCCACAGUCAGUAUUCAACUGGGAGUUUAAAUGAUUUUUAUACGGUCCCUUAUUUUAUAGUCAGCUUGUUUAAAGAAGAAAGAAGGGUACUGUGGGGGUGGGUGGUUGAUGGUUUGAAGGAGAGAAAGAAAAGUAGCAUUAUUCUUUCGAACGCUAAUAUUACUGUUGUUGGCCUUGUGCAUAUAGUAGAAAGAUUAUUAUUAUUAUUAUUAUUAUUGUUGUUGUUCUGUCUAUCACGUUCGGCAGUUCUGUGUUAAUGAUGAAAUUUUGUUAUCAAUAUAUUUUAUCAAUCAUUAGUUCUAUUUUAAUCUUUGUUUAACUAUUUGACCAAAAUCCACAUACAAACAAUAAAUUUUGAUAAGUAUAACUAUCAUUCGCCACAAGAGAUACGAAGAGACUACCCAUGAUAUAAUAUUCCAGAUAAAUUACAAUACGAUGCAAAUAAACGAAGAUAUAUUGGUUUUAUGACAAUAUAUAUAUAUAUAUAUAUAUAUAUAUAUAUAGGACUAGAAAUAUAUAUAUAUAAUGUGUGUGUGUUUGCACGCUGAAUAAUAUUAAUAAUCUCUCCCACUUGUUUCUUAAACUGGUGGGUGGAGAAACAGUUCAGUUUUUGUUUAUCAAUUUGAUCUGAAGUCUCCGUUCACAUUUUUUAUUGGAUGGGGGUGGUGGUGUGAAUAUCAUCUUUCUUCCGUCAACUCUUCCUCUGCUCGGUUUUAUUUUCUUCUUUCCCUUGAGCUUAAUAUACAUAGUAUUAAUUUCACCCACUAUGUAAAUACCUGUAUGAAAUUCAUUUAACGUAUUUUACCAUUUUUUUAAUCUAUAAAUGAAGAUUUGUGGCCUUGCAAACUGAGACUGUUACUGCUUCAGUUUCUAUUUGGAGCCAUUUCACCCCGCUACUUAUUAUGCCUUUUGAGAAAUGCAUGAACAUCACCACAUCCUAAUUACCUUUGCCUAUCUAUCUAUCCUGAAUGUUAAUAUUAUUGUUUGUGUGGCAAAUAUUAGAAGGCUUGACUAAAUUUCAAUUUUAUGUUCCGUGUUCAAAUCCCUAAGAGUUGUCUUUUUCGUCGCUAUGGUGGUAGGUGAUAAUAAGUACUUAUGUACUAGUUCGAUUCAAUCGUCUAUACAUACUCAACUUCUGUGAGUACAGUGAGGCCGCUCGACUAGCUAGAAAUAGCAGCCCAGUUCUUACAAAUCACACCAUACUUUCUUUAAAAGAAAGAAAAAAAAGGGAAGCACACACUGACUGAUACAGAAAAUGAGGGAUGAUCAUGGAAUGCUUUUGGUGAAAGGUUUGUUCACCCAAAGCUAACCUGGGACUAG
This 2133-nucleotide long non-coding RNA is filed under the name Octopus vulgaris (common octopus). The record is from RNAcentral. Lineage: Eukaryota; Metazoa; Mollusca; Cephalopoda; Octopoda; Octopodidae.